Molecule: ribosomal RNA, 497 nt
Filed under: uncultured bacterium
Lineage: Bacteria
Description: partial 16S ribosomal RNA
Rfam family: Bacterial small subunit ribosomal RNA
Source: RNAcentral
GAUGAACGCUGGCGGCGUGCCUAAUACAUGCAAGUCGAGCGAACAGACGAGGAGCUUGCUCCUCUGACGUUAGCGGCGGACGGGUGAGUAACACGUGGAUAACCUACCUAUAAGACUGGGAUAACUUCGGGAAACCGGAGCUAAUACCGGAUAAUAUAUUGAACCGCAUGGUUCAAUAGUGAAAGACGGUUUUGCUGUCACUUAUAGAUGGAUCCGCGCCGCAUUAGCUAGUUGGUAAGGUAACGGCUUACCAAGGCGACGAUGCGUAGCCGACCUAAGAGGGUGAUCGGCCACACUGGAACUGAGACACGGUCCAGACUCCUACGGGAGGCAGCAGUAGGGAAUCUUCCGCAAUGGGCGAAAGCCUGACGGAGCAACGUCGCGUGAGUGAUGAAGGUCUUCGGAUCGUAAAACUCUGUUAUUAGGGAAGAACAAAUGUGUAAGUAACUAUGCACGUCUUGACGGUACCUAAUCAGAAAGCCACGGCUAACUACGUG